UUUAACCAAUUUUAGCCUUUUGAAUCAUUUGACCCUUUGAGUCAAUUGUUUUGUUACCAACUGUAUUUGGAUUGGUUGGAAAGAUAGAUAAGUGAUUAAGUCAGAUCAACAGUAAAACUGUCAAAUGUGAUAAAUCCUUUGAUGGUCUUUUCGCACUUGCAUUUUGUCUUUACUCUUAUCAACAACACUCUUCACAUCAUGACCAUCUUUUAAUUGUUGCCUUAUAUCACUUUGAUUAUCUUGGUUAUAACACUAAUCUUGCUUUUGGUUUUAAUGUCAACUCUAAUUUAAAGUGAUAGUCCAAGGAAAGUUACAACCAGUAUUGAUUUACCUUUACCAUUAACAUUCAAACUUCAAAGGUUAAUGGUGAUUGAGUUUUCCAAGCCCAUGAGAAAUCUGAACAUUUCAAUAGUUAGUCAAUAAUCAACUGUCGAUGUAAUCUUGUGAAACAAACGAAACAUCAAAUGUUGAAACAUUUAACAUUAACUUUAAUCUACAGUUAAAUUACUAUUGUAAAAUAAUUGAUUGAUAAAAAGUCAACAAGCCAAGUAUGAAAUUAAAUUGUCAAAGCACGAGACUGGAGAGGAUGACAAUUUUAAGAUAAUCCGAAAGAAGGAAGAUAAAGAUAAAGAAGAUGAUGAUAAAAUGAAGGAUCAAGUGGAUUAGAUGACAAUCAAGUUUCCUGUUCAUCUGAAAAUUAACAUAAGACUGCCAUUGAUUGACAUGGUUUAGCUAAUCUUGUGGUUUUAUUUUUUCAUUCAGCAAAACCUGAACAAAAGCAACUGAUUAACGCUUUGAAUUGGAGUGACUGUUCAAUUGUCAAGCAAUAAUAGAAAGGUUUUCAUUUGAAUGACAUCUUUGUGUACCACUAAGCUGAACGAAUAAAAAUAAUAGGAAUGCAAACAGUCAAAAUUUUGGUCUAUUGUUGGCUGAUUUGAAAAAUUUCAAUCUGAAUGGUCAACUGAAAGGAAAGGAUUGGACUCGCCAUCAAUGAUGCAGAUGCAAUGCUGAUUAAAAAACAUUUCAUAGACUUUACAAGGAUAAAAAAAUAUACAUUUUUCGUUUGGUUUUUCAUCAAUCAUUCCAACAACAAAUUGAAUUGGUCCUGUGCUAACUAUUCAAGAAUUGAUUUCAACAGACUUUAACUGUCCAUAGAAACCGUCACGUGGAUUUGGCCCAUUCGACAUCCAAGUCCAUCAUUAAAUCUGUGAUUCGAAAUUGUAAAAGCUCAAGAAUUCCUCAUGUCUAGUCAUUGACAAACUCAAUCUUUUGCAAUACCACAAACCAUUAGACUAUCCACCAAUGAUUGAACCAAUUUGGAAUUGCUAUAGAAACCAAACUAAUUAUCAAACUAUUCUGUAAAUUCUUGAACAAAACAUUGAAUUCGAAUAAGUUGUUUGUAAUCCACAAAACUAUUCAAUUCCCAAUUAACAAACUAUGUAAUUUAUCUGAGAAACGGCAAUUUAUAAAAAUAAAAAUA
Long non-coding RNA from Tetranychus urticae (two-spotted spider mite), 1480 nucleotides. RefSeq lists it as uncharacterized. Lineage: Eukaryota; Metazoa; Arthropoda; Arachnida; Trombidiformes; Tetranychidae. The record is from RefSeq and is a predicted model, not a curated record.